UUUAUUAUUGAUUCAGUGGUAAGGUUUGAUUGUUUUAAUUGUCAAGACCAAGGUUCAAAUCAUAUUUCCAUCUUUUUUAUAAUGUCCAGCACAUUUUUUAUAUUUACUCGAAAAAUACAACUAAAAUGUUAAAAGCAAGACUCGAUCUCGUGUCCUAUUAUACGCAGAAAGGCAGGUUUACCACCUACACCACCAAAUAUUACAUGACAUAUUACAGAAUGUAUAACACAUAUACACAAAUAUAUUCAUGCAAUAUAUAUAAGCAAUGAAAUUUUUUGGGUGGUUCCUUCCCUGUCCAUAGUAGUAUUAAUUAGUUUAUAAAUAUGAAUAAUAUUGGCAUCGCGCUGUCCUAGAUUUACAACAUAGAUUCUGUGUAGCUUUAUUUCAUACUCUUCCUGUUUACUUGUAAGAAUCAAAUUCUACUUAUGGUUCUUGAGUAUAUUAGUAGAUAAUUCAAAGUUGACUUGGGAAAUGCCUUCACUCAUAUAUGAUUAAUGGACUAGAAAUUCGAAUGACUGUUAAUAUGGUCAUUUGAUUUGCUUAUAUGUUUGGGUUGUGUAUUUGCUCAUAGGAUGCUGUAGAAAUUUUCAAAGGUGGACAUACAUCCUGCCUGUUAAAAUUUUAUAUUUACAUGUUGCAUAUUUCAGAACUGAAGAUUAAUGGAUUACAGCGUGAUGCAUUUUUCUUUUCUUUCAGA
This 697-nucleotide long non-coding RNA is filed under the name Trifolium pratense (red clover). Its description in RNAcentral is "long non-coding RNA (TPRA_LNC007798)". The record is from RNAcentral. Lineage: Eukaryota; Viridiplantae; Streptophyta; Magnoliopsida; Fabales; Fabaceae.